This 420-nucleotide ribosomal RNA is filed under the name bacterium. Its description in RNAcentral is "partial 16S ribosomal RNA". It matches the Rfam family "Bacterial small subunit ribosomal RNA", at positions 355 to 776 of the family's 1533-position model. The record is from RNAcentral.
UGGGGGAUAUUGCACAAUGGGCGAAAGCCUGAUGCAGCGACGCCGCGUGGGGGAUGAAGGCUUUCGGGUUGUAAACCUCUUUCGCUAUCGAACAAGGCUCGCUUAGGGUGGGGUGAGGGUAGGUGGUGAAGCAGCGCCGGCUAACUACGUGCCAGCAGCCGCGGUAGUACGUAGGGCGCGAGCGUUGUCUGGAAUUAUUGGGCGUAAAGGGCUUGUAGGCGGCUUGUUGCGCCUGCUGUGAAAACGCGGGGCUUAACUUCGCGCGUGCAGUGGGUACGGACAGGCUUGAGUGUGGUAGGGGUGACUCGAAUUCCAGGUGUAGCGGUGGAAUGCGCAGAUAUCUGGAAGGACACCGAAGGCGAAGAGAGGUCACUGGGCCAUUACUGACGCUGAGGAGCGAAAGCAUAGGUAGCGAACAGG